CGGUUCUGCUCAGCUGCCUAACGGUUUUGGGCAGCCAUUUUCUCCCGGGAGAGGCUGGAGUGUCCAAAAGCUUGGCCGACUGAGAUUUCUAGUCGUGUCAGGGCGGGUGCAGGGACUGAAGAAGGGCAAGGGCGAGCGGCGGGGACUGGGGAAGGGCGAGUGGCGGGGACUGGGGAAGGGCGAGCAGCGGGAGGCACGGGCUCUCUCUAGCAGGUGGCUGCAGCCAUGGAGAGGCUCUGUGCCACCGCUGUCAAGGGCCAGACGGGCCCAGAGCGCCCAAGCCCCUUCAGUCAGCUGUUCUACACCAACAACGACUCUUACGUGAUUCACCAUGGGGAUCUCAGGAAGAUCCACAAAGCUGCCUCCCGGGCCAAGCCUGGAAGCUGGAGAGGAUGAUGAAGAAGACGACAAUGGACCUGAACAUAAGAGAUGCGAAGAAGAGGACUGCUCUACACUGGGCCUGUGCCAAUGGCCAUGCAGAAGUAGUAACACUUCUGGCAGAUAGAAAGUACCAGCUUGACGUCCUUGAUGGUGAAAACAGGACAACUCUGAUGAAGGCUCUGCAAUGCCAGAGGGAGGCUUGUGCAAAUAUUCUCAUAGAUUCUGGUGCUGAUCCAAAUAUUGUAGGUGUGUAUGGCAACACAGCUGUCCAUUAUGCUGUUAACAGUGAGAAUUUGUCAGUGGUGGCAAAAUUGCUGUCCUGUGGUGCA
Molecule: long non-coding RNA, 710 nt
Filed under: Homo sapiens (human)
Lineage: Eukaryota; Metazoa; Chordata; Mammalia; Primates; Hominidae
Description: non-protein coding lnc-POTEC-14:1
Source: RNAcentral